AGUCAUUAUUAUAAUAUUUACAUUGACUCAACUGCAAAAAGAAGCUGUAGAAGUGUAUUUGCGUAAAUUUCACUGUGCACGUGCUAAGUGUAAAUACGUAUACCUAACUGCUUUAUGAAUAUUUGUAACGGAUUAAGAUGCUCCUAGUAAUAAUAAUCAUUAUACCACGGUUUUAUCAAAAUAUUAUUAAUCUGUGCUAAAGGGGGAGUGACGUCGCCAGCCUCCAAAUGUAACGGUGUGCGUAAUACGACUCCUGGUUUAAUGACAUGAAAAAUUAAGUUGCGUCGCAUCUCGUGCCUUUUUGGACGGCUGAGAAUUAUCUUUGGUCGCCGGUAAUAGCCUUUUUUGGAGUUUUAUAGAGGUAGGACAAUGCAAAGAUGAGAUCUCGAUUGACCUAAUUUCAGUAAUAUUGCAUUAUUUUGACCAUAUAUGAACGUAAAAAUGGAAGUCUGGGGGUCUUUAUUUAUUAUAUGUAGUUGUAGGUAUUGUAUUCCCAUUUGAUAGUUGGGCGAUAACUGGAAUUUUACUCUUAUUUUUUUAAUUGGACUGAGUGACCUCUGUUAAAAGCAAAAAUGGACUAAGCGCGAGCCAGACUCGCGUUCCAAGGGUUCCAUAAUUACGCUUUUUUUUUACAUACAUCCUUUGGUCUAGACAAGCCGGUGUAAUAAAGUGAGCGAUACUUCGCCAUCGAACAUCGCCAUCUUGUUAGCGCUCAGAUAAUCAAGAUGGCGGAUAGCUCGGGCUAACAAGGUUCAUUUAUCAAUACUGAUGGUACUUACGUUCUUGUUGACCGGUACUCAGAUUUUUAAAUAACUCUACAGCUAUUGCUAGUGUUGUUGUCGUAAAAAACUUAUCAGUUUUCGCUCAUAAAUAACCGGGUUUUUUAUCCACAUGGGGCAGUAAGUGAAAUACCUGUAAGUACUACAUGCGAGACAAUUAUAUUUGUCCUUCAGAGUCAUGAAACCGAUUUAAAAAAGAAAAACCGCAUUUAAUCAUUUUUAUGUACCUAAUAAUAAACGCCUGCGAGUGCGAGUCCAAUCCAUUAUUACCUAUAAAGAAAAAAAAAUAGAGUAUAAAGAUAGUUCAACAACCGUGAACAAUCUUAUCUACCAAAACGGUGGGUUGGUAGGUAACCCCAGAGCGGUAGUCAAAAAUUGUCUAGAAAUAAUAACCUUUUAUUUAACCAUGUUACACAAAUCCGUAUCUACGUAUAAUAUUAGGUUGUUUUUUUCUCGCAAUUGCCUCAUUUCAAUGAAUAUAUCGGGGACAGUCCAUCUUCUAUCAGAUAUAGUCCGUAUUCUAUCAGAAUGCUUCGCCAAUGAGAAAGGUGCAAGUAAUGUCUCAGACGCACGAAGUGCGAUUUAAAUUUAUCGUUGAAUUUUGCCGUCUUCGCAAAGUCAAGAGGGCUUACAGUGCGCAUUGGGACAAAUGCAAAUGCGGUUUCAUAUUUUGGUUUGUGUGAAGUCGAUUAAUUUAUUGGUUGCGAGAACACUGUAAUUUUUUUUAAUAGCUUGCGUUUCUACUUUGUCCUGUGACUUGCUAGGCCAGUAGGCUACUAAUACGAAUAUGACGUCGAAUGACAUAUUUUUAUUUAUUUUGUACGGAUUUAUUUACCCCGAAGUAGCACCUUUCUGGCGCGGCAAGUCGUGUAAUAAACUUUUACAUAUAGUUUGUUACAGGAGGCCAAUUCCGACUUAUAUUUCAGUGUUUAAAUAAUGGGACCAACUUGGAGGUACAAAAACAAGAAUCACUCAAAUCCGACCAGAGGUGUCGGAGUAACCGGUGUACAUACAUAAAAAAAAAUAGCCACAACCGAAUACAGAACCUCCUCCUUCUAUGAAAUUGAAGUCGGUUAAAAAACUUGAUUGUCAGAACAGAAGAUGUUACUGUGCGUGUUUUACAUGUGUGUAUACCUGUAUGUGUACCUAGUACUUUAUGCAAAAAUCGAUCUAUCAACAUUUGAAAAGAUGAAAAGACGAAACGCUUAAAUAAAUAUUAAAUAAAUAAAUAUUAUAGGACAUUUUUACACAAAUUGACUAAGUCCCACACUAAGCUCAAUAAGGCUUGUGUUGAGGGUACUUAGAAAACGAUAUAUAUAAUAUAUAAAUAAAUAUUUAUAAAUACUUAAAUACAUAGAACUUAAAAAAAUCAUAUUUAUAAUCAUGAAUGUUGAUUGAUGAUUUUUCAUGGCUUUAUCAUAUGUACAUAGGUAUGUGGAAGUCCCGUAACGCCGGACGGAAGCUAGUGCCGGACACACGUAAUAUCUUGGAAACUAACAACGCGAGCAAUUGAAGAAUAAGUGAAAGGGGCGCGGGGGGACGUACCACUACCAAUGUCGAAAAAUGGAAUGUGCAUUGCUUGUGACGCGCGCAGCGACUGUGGGAGCGUUUUUAGUGUUUUUGUGGGGAAGGCACUGCAUUGCAUAAGAUUUGGAUAGAAGAACGGGCAAACAUAAAUGGAAGAGAUGAAUAAACAGUCCGGAAAAGGAGAGUCUGCAAGUGAUUCCCGAGCGAGCAAUGUUAACGUACGUCAACGAAAAAUACAUUGACAAAAAAAACUCGGUAGUCAACGUGAGAAGAUAUGGAAGGAAGAGUGGUUACUACAUCAACAUUGAAGCAAACAUCAAAAUGGAAUUCGGGAACAACGUAUCGCUCAACCUAAUCUUCUUUGAGUUCCUUCACAAUGAGUAUAAACGCAGUUUCGUGGAGAUGAAGUUCCCGAAGAUUUGCGAUGCGUUGAACUCGGACCCCUAUAUUGGCGGAGCAUUCAAACUUAUUGGUUUGAUUUGCCCAAUACCUAGGUUAGUGGAUUAAUAUAGAAAUUCUUACGAGACCUCGCGAAUAAUGGGGUUUAAUGGAAGACUAAGUACUCGUAUAGUUUUUUACAUGCCUAAAUACUCAUAAUUAAGAAGAGCUCUUGUACUAUUCGGACACAUUCUAACAUUCUAAAUUUAAAAUACUUUGUGUCUCGGAGUCCUCUCAACUUCAUGCGCAAAUAUGAUAACUGGACUAGUAGAGAACUUUUGUUCCUUCUUCUUUUGAAGGUGUACCUAAAAUAGUGGGGUUCUGUUUACGGGUAAAAUUGGUGAUUGCCGGAACAAAUACAAGGUAAAACGUCAAGUAAGCCCUUGCUUGGAAAAUAAACAAAUUUAAUGUAGGUAUGACGAAUUUUACUUGAAGAAGUGAAUUUUUCUUUUAAUAUAAAUAUUUGUAAUUUCGUUUGCAGGCGUCUCUGUUUAGUACAAAAUUAAGUAUAAAACGGGUCCUGGGUCAUCAGGUUAUAAAAUAUCUGCAUGCUCGAAAUUUAUAAAUAAGAAUUUUACAAGAAAAAUACAGUCAGCAUCAAAAGUAGCUGAUCAAAUAACGUUUCAUAAAGUAUGGUUCUGUAAAAGCUUACCAAAAAGUGAUGUCUUUAAUAUAGAAUAACUAAGACUGUAAAAGAUAUACUUUUGAGCGCGAGUUUUAACAAUUUAUCUAUAUUGGAAAAGUUAUCCGGAAUAUCAGAUACUUUUGGCGCGUUGUUUCAUCCGCUACUUUUGAUGCUGACUGUACAGGGAAAAUUAAUUCCAAUACCAGGAUAUCGCUAUAAAUAUUAUUGUAUUGCAUUUUUGUUUCAGGGUAUGCAAAGGCUGAACAAUAUAACGGUGCCCAUGCAUAACUUUCCUAAUGUCUGGCCCUUUGAAAAAUGUAAAGUUGAAGCAACGCUACUCCAGAAUAAAAAUCGGGAAGUCAUGGCUACUGCUGAUAUUUAUGCCAUUUUCAAACAAAGCGCUAUAGGAAAAUAGAAUAUAAAAGAUUAGUUCCUCGAUAAAGCACAAUUAUAUUUAAGAUUUAUAUUUAAACUAUCACCAAAUAAAUUUUCAGACAAUUCUCUUAAUAAAGACCA
Long non-coding RNA from Cydia pomonella (codling moth), 3885 nucleotides. RefSeq lists it as uncharacterized. NCBI's taxonomy places the organism in Eukaryota, Metazoa, Arthropoda, Insecta, Lepidoptera, Tortricidae. The record is from RefSeq and is a predicted model, not a curated record. The transcript is spliced from 4 exons.